UUUUACAAGAAAUUUAAACAAUAUAAAAGAUAUUAAUAUGGGACGAUAUACUGCAAGAGAAAUCUUAGAUAUAACACUCAAAAUUCAAUGAUGAAGUUUGGGUCAAUAUUAAUCUUUUUUGAAGUUUCUAAUUUUAUAAAUAUUUGAAAUUUAUAAUAAAAUGACAAAUUUGUGUUUAAUUUCACGGGACGGGGUUAUAUGGUGUGACGAGUUUGAGUGGAUUAUAACAUGGGAUGGUAUGCUACGGAAAAAACCUAUAAUUAACAAUCAUAAUAUAAUUAUAUAAUCUUAAACACUAAACAAAAUUAACAAUAUUAAAAAAAAACUUAAAACUUUAAUUUUUUAAAAUCACAUUUCGAUUCUUUUAUAAGAUUUCUCUCGCAGUACUACCACGGGUGAAAUCCUAGAAUUGACGGGUUUGAAUCGAUAUUAAUAUGGGAUGGUGUACUACGGGUGAUAUUUUAGAAUUGACUGGUUUAUGUUGAUAAUAAUUUGCGAUAGAAUUAGGAGUGAAAUCCUAGAAUGACAAUUAAAAUAUAAUUAUACAAUUAAAUACUACCACGGGUGAAAUCCUAGAAUUGACGGGCUUGAUUCGAUAUUAAUAUGGGAUGGUGUACUACGGGUGAAAUUUUAGAAUUGAAUGGUUUGGAUUGAUUAUACUUUGCGAUAGAACUAGGAGUGAAAUCCUAGAAUGACAAUCAAGUUAUUAUUAUACAAUUAAAUACUACCACGGGUGAAAUCCUAGAAUUGACGGGUUUGAUUCGAUAUUAAUAUGGGAUGGUGUACUAAGUGUGAAAUCCAAGAAACAACAAUCAAAAUACAAUUAUACAAUAUUAAACAUUUAACAAAAUAAACAAAUACAACUUAAAACUUUAAAAUUUGAGUUAUAAAAUUUUGUCUCGCGGUGAAUUAUACAUUUCAAUCAAACAAUAGCAUAAAUUUAUUAAAAAUCAUCCUAAAAAAUAUUCAAUUAUUUU
Molecule: small RNA, 977 nt
Filed under: Arabidopsis thaliana (thale cress)
Lineage: Eukaryota; Viridiplantae; Streptophyta; Magnoliopsida; Brassicales; Brassicaceae
Description: ATSL151750
Source: RNAcentral